Molecule: ribosomal RNA, 325 nt
Filed under: uncultured eukaryote
Lineage: Eukaryota
Description: partial 18S ribosomal RNA
Rfam family: Eukaryotic small subunit ribosomal RNA
Source: RNAcentral
CCCUUAGAUGUUCUGGGCCGCACGCGCGCUACACUGACGCAUUCAACGAGUCUAAAACCUGGUCUGAUAGGGCUGGGUAAUCUUUUGAAUGUGCGUCGUGAUUGGGAUAAAUGAUUGUAAUUCUCCAUUUUCAACGAGGAAUGCCUAGUAAACGCAAGUCAUCAGCUUGCAUUGAUUACGUCCCUGCCCUUUGUACACACCGCCCGUCGCUCCUACCGAUCGAAGAGUUAGGUGAAUUGUUUUGAUCGAUAAGAUUUGACUAUGGUCAACUCUCGUUGUGAAAUUCUGUGAAUCUGACUGUUUAGAGGAAGGAAAAGUCGUAACA